RNAcentral lists this ribosomal RNA (550 nucleotides) under Meyerozyma caribbica. RNAcentral describes it as "LSU rRNA". It matches the Rfam family "Eukaryotic large subunit ribosomal RNA", at positions 98 to 664 of the family's 3401-position model. The record is from RNAcentral. Lineage: Eukaryota; Fungi; Ascomycota; Pichiomycetes; Serinales; Debaryomycetaceae.
GCGGCAAAAGCUCAAAUUUGAAAUCUGGCACCUUCGGUGUCCGAGUUGUAAUUUGAAGAUUGUAACCUUGGGGUUGGCUCUUGUCUAUGUUUCUUGGAACAGGACGUCACAGAGGGUGAGAAUCCCGUGCGAUGAGAUGCCCAAUCCUAUGUAAGGUGCUUUCGAAGAGUCGAGUUGUUUGGGAAUGCAGCUCUAAGUGGGUGGUAAAUUCCAUCUAAAGCUAAAUAUUGGCGAGAGACCGAUAGCGAACAAGUACAGUGAUGGAAAGAUGAAAAGAACUUUGAAAAGAGAGUGAAAAAGUACGUGAAAUUGUUGAAAGGGAAGGGUUUGAGAUCAGACUCGAUAUUUUGUGAGCCUUGCCUUCGUGGCGGGGUGACCCGCAGCUUAUCGGGCCAGCAUCGGUUUGGGCGGUAGGAUAAUGGCGUAGGAAUGUGACUUUGCUUCGGUGAAGUGUUAUAGCCUGCGUUGAUGCUGCCUGCCUAGACCGAGGACUGCGAUUUUAUCAAGGAUGCUGGCAUAAUGAUCCCAAACCGCCCGUCUUGAAACACGG